UUUAGGGAGACCUACCCAACUCAGAUAUCGAAAAAAAGUUUAGAGAUAGUGAGAUGGUCAAACCUAGGUCGGUCGAGAUUGGUUGAGACUUUCAAAGUAUUAUUUGGUUCGCUUAUUAUUUGGUUACGCCGAGUCAGCAAUCUUGUUACUUGUAGCAAGACUGCUGGAUUGAAGACCAGCCAGAACCUUGAAAACUGCAUAGUGACGCGAAACAAAAGCAGGCAGCCACAGACAUGAGAAUGGAAGUGGAUGCAGUGGAAGAAACCAAUGAAAAGU
Molecule: unclassified non-coding RNA, 276 nt
Filed under: Cylindrospermum marchicum CCALA 1001
Lineage: Bacteria; Bacillati; Cyanobacteriota; Cyanophyceae; Nostocales; Nostocaceae
Description: 16S-23S ribosomal RNA intergenic spacer
Source: RNAcentral